UAGUGUGUUUCCUUCUAAUAAACCUGGAACUGCAUACUAAAUAUUGUUGGCUCUGUGUCAAAUUGCUUGUUUUGUUCCUAGAUUCUUCAAUGCUGAUGGCCUGCUGCACCCCAGCAGAGUUGGAGCGAACCUCCUUGUCAGACUACAUCUCCAAGAUGCUAUUGACCAUUAGACUAGGUUAUUAGAAACUGCACAGCACCAGGACUUGUGAGGACUUCAGAUGAUGCCAAUACUCAAAAAGACCUUAGAUGAUGGCAACUAUAGAUGGACAUACAAACUACCGCCACUGCAACAGACCAGGAAGUCGAACACUGGGUUAAAAGAUGGCUGCAGCUUGCCAGAGAUGGGAUGGAGGCCAGGAGAGAAGAUUUAAAGGUUGUUGGUAUCGGACUGCUUUUUGGCUCUGACCCUCGCUUGCCCCUGACCUCGUGUCUGAAUUACCCUCUGGAUUGAUGUUUUCUUUGGACUGCUUUCUGGUUUUGACCUCUGCCUGUUUCAUGGACUCCCCUUUUGCCCGGCUCAUGGUUAGUUAGCUAGUUAUCGAACUGUUGAUUUGAAUUCUCUAUUUCUUUGACUCCUCUUGCAGAAAUUUGUUGUGCUCCUCUGGUUAGCAAUGUAUCAGUUCAGUGAGAAUAGUUGAAUGCAUAUACUUUAAUGGAAUUCUGUAUGUAUCGGUUAUAGAGCUGUGCAAAUAAUCGAAUCACGA
Long non-coding RNA from Sinocyclocheilus rhinocerous, 706 nucleotides. RefSeq lists it as uncharacterized. NCBI's taxonomy places the organism in Eukaryota, Metazoa, Chordata, Actinopteri, Cypriniformes, Cyprinidae. The record is from RefSeq and is a predicted model, not a curated record. The transcript has 3 exons.